UGUCCCCACAGGCCCCUCCUUCCUUGUCCCAAGGCAUCCCUUCCAGUCAGGUUCAUUCCUGGCCAUUACUCUGUCCCCUUACCCUUUGAUUCCUUUCAGAUGGGUGAAUUAUUAUAUGAACGGAUCCAAUUUCAAAGCCCUUUUUGGCCUAGCAGACUCAGCCUCUCGUCCCUCGGGUUUGGAGUCAGGAUGCCGCUUGGAUCCCCCGUUCUCUACCUUGACCAUCCAUCACCAUGAUGGCACCUUCUUUCCCAAAGACCUUGGAGGGUUCAAACAGAAAGUUCAUGAAGACCCUUGGAGAGUGAGAAGAGAGGAAAGCAAUGAGAUCACUGAGGAAGGAAGGUACUCGGUCUGUUUCAAGGAAACUGAUUCUUCCGCCAUCCCAAUGACAUAGAUUAAAAUAAGAACCACCCACAGCCUUAUAUUUAGGAGCUACAGAGUUCAGCUGGUUGGCUAACCUGGCCAGAGUGCACGCCCUAAGGGAGCUUCCGAAGCUCCAUCAGAAUUCUAUCCACUUCACAAAUGAGGCAAGGAGCACAGGCUGCUUUGUCCAAGAUGAUGAAGCUGAGGUCCAUGGGUUUUCCCUGUGGUUCUGAUUCUUCUUUACAACAUGACUAAUGUGGAAAUAUGUUUAAUAUGAUUGUACAUGUAGAACCUAU
Phascolarctos cinereus (koala) is the source of this 659-nucleotide long non-coding RNA. RefSeq lists it as uncharacterized. NCBI's taxonomy places the organism in Eukaryota, Metazoa, Chordata, Mammalia, Diprotodontia, Phascolarctidae. The record is from RefSeq and is a predicted model, not a curated record.